This 497-nucleotide ribosomal RNA is filed under the name uncultured bacterium. RNAcentral describes it as "partial 16S ribosomal RNA". It matches the Rfam family "Bacterial small subunit ribosomal RNA", at positions 28 to 507 of the family's 1533-position model. The record is from RNAcentral.
GACGAACGCUGGCGGCGUGCCUAAUACAUGCAAGUUGAGCGCUGAAGGUUGGUACUUGUACCAACUGGAUGAGCAGCGAACGGGUGAGUAACGCGUGGGGAAUCUGCCUUUGAGCGGGGGACAACAUUUGGAAACGAAUGCUAAUACCGCAUAAAAACUUUAAACACAAGUUUUAAGUUUGAAAGAUGCAAUUGCAUCACUCAAAGAUGAUCCCGCGUUGUAUUAGCUAGUUGGUGAGGUAAAGGCUCACCAAGGCGAUGAUACAUAGCCGACCUGAGAGGGUGAUCGGACAAAUUGGGACUGAGACAAGGCCCAAACGCCUACGGGAGGCAGCAGUAGGGAAUCUUCGGAAAUGGACGAAAGUCUGACCGAGCAACGCCGCGUGAGUGAAGAAGGUUUUCGGAUCGUAAAACACUGUUGGUAGAGAAGAACGUUGGUGAGAGUGGAAAGCGCAUCAAGUGACGGUAACUACCCAGAAAGGGACGGCUAACUACGUG